Molecule: ribosomal RNA, 860 nt
Filed under: Xylodon ovisporus
Lineage: Eukaryota; Fungi; Basidiomycota; Agaricomycetes; Hymenochaetales; Schizoporaceae
Description: partial large subunit ribosomal RNA
Rfam family: Eukaryotic large subunit ribosomal RNA
Source: RNAcentral
UAACAAGGAUUCCCCUAGUAACUGCGAGUGAAGCGGGAAAAGCUCAAAUUUAAAAUCUGACAGUUUCACUGUCCGAGUUGUAAUCUGGAGAAGCAUUUUCCGUGUCGGACCGUGUACAAGUCUCUUGGAAUAGAGCGUCAUAGAGGGUGAGAAUCCCGUCCAUGACACGGACUACCGAUGCUUUGUGAUAUGCUCUCGAAGAGUCGAGUUGUUUGGGAAUGCAGCUCAAAAUGGGUGGUAAAUUCCAUCUAAAGCUAAAUAUUGGCGAGAGACCGAUAGCGAACAAGUACCGUGAGGGAAAGAUGAAAAGCACUUUGGAAAGAGAGUUAAACAGUACGUGAAAUUGUUGAAAGGGAAACGCUUGAAGUCAGUCGCGUUGAUUGAGACUCAGCCUUGCUUUGCAUGGUGUACUUCUCAGUUAACGGGUCAACAUCAAUUUCAGUUGGUGGAUAAAGGCAUUGGGAAUGUGGCACCUUCGGGUGUGUUAUAGACCUUUGUUGCAUACACUGACCGGGAUUGAGGAACGCAGCACGCCACUAAGGCCAGGGAUUUGUCCCAUGUAACGUGCUUAGGAUGUUGGCAUAAUGGCUUUAAGCGACCCGUCUUGAAACACGGACCAAGGAGUCUAACAUGCCUGCGAGUAUUAGGGUGGAAAACCCUUGUGCGUAAUGAAAGUGAAAGUUGGGACCUCUUGCGAGGGCACCGACGCCCGGCCCUGAAGUUUACUGACGGCGCUGCGGUAGAGCAUGUAUGUUGGGACCCGAAAGAUGGUGAACUAUGCCUGAAUAGGGUGAAGCCAGGGGAAACUCUGGUGGAGGCUCGUAGCGAUUCUGACGUGCAAAUCGAUCGUCAAAUUUGGG